RNAcentral lists this ribosomal RNA (572 nucleotides) under uncultured bacterium. RNAcentral describes it as "bacterial SSU rRNA". It matches the Rfam family "Bacterial small subunit ribosomal RNA", at positions 41 to 606 of the family's 1533-position model. The record is from RNAcentral.
GGCAUGCCUUACACAUGCAAGUCGAACGGCAGCACGGGUGCUUGCACCUGGUGGCGAGUGGCGAACGGGUGAGUAAUACAUCGGAACGUGUCCUGUAGUGGGGGAUAGCCCGGCGAAAGCCGGAUUAAUACCGCAUACGAUCUACGGAUGAAAGCGGGGGAUCUUCGGACCUCGCGCUAUAGGGGCGGCCGAUGGCGGAUUAGCUAGUUGGUGAGGUAAAGGCUCACCAAGGCGACGAUCCGUAGCUGGUCUGAGAGGACGACCAGCCACCCUGGGACUGAGACACGGCCCAGACUCCUACGGGAGGCAGCAGUGGGGAAUUUUGGACAAUGGGCGAAAGCCUGAUCCAGCAAUGCCGCGUGUGUGAAGAAGGCCUUCGGGUUGUAAAGCACUUUUGUCCGGAAAGAAAUCCUUGGUCCUAAUAUGGCCGGGGGAUGACGGUACCGGAAGAAUAAGCACCGGCUAACUACGUGCCAGCAGCCGCGGUAAUACGUAGGGUGCAAGCGUUAAUCGGAAUUACUGGGCGUAAAGCGUGCGCAGGCGGUGAUGUAAGACCGAUGUGAAAUCCCCGG